RNAcentral lists this ribosomal RNA (548 nucleotides) under uncultured bacterium. RNAcentral's name for it is "bacterial SSU rRNA". It matches the Rfam family "Bacterial small subunit ribosomal RNA", at positions 355 to 896 of the family's 1533-position model. The record is from RNAcentral.
GGGGGAAUUUUGGACAAUGGGCGCAAGCCUGAUCCAGCCAUGCCGCGUGCGGGAAGAAGGCCUUCGGGUUGUAAACCGCUUUUGUCAGGGAAGAAAUCCUUUGGGCUAAUACCCCGGGGGGAUGACGGUACCUGAAGAAUAAGCACCGGCUAACUACGUGCCAGCAGCCGCGGUAAUACGUAGGGUGCAAGCGUUAAUCGGAAUUACUGGGCGUAAAGCGUGCGCAGGCGGUUAUGCAAGACAGAUGUGAAAUCCCCGGGCUCAACCUGGGAACUGCAUUUGUGACUGCAUAGCUGGAGUGCGGCAGAGGGGGAUGGAAUUCCGCGUGUAGCAGUGAAAUGCGUAGAUAUGCGGAGGAACACCGAUGGCGAAGGCAAUCCCCUGGGCCUGCACUGACGCUCAUGCACGAAAGCGUGGGGAGCAAACAGGAUUAGAUACCCUGGUAGUCCACGCCCUAAACGAUGUCAACUGGUUGUUGGGAAGGUUCCUUCUCAGUAACGUAGCUAACGCGUGAAGUUGACCGCCUGGGGAGUACGGCCGCAAGGUUG